UUCAAGUUAGGACAUGAUUGGGAAUACAGAAUGGAGGAAAAUGGUGGAGCACCAGGUACACCAGGAAAAGGAAGUGGGUCUUUAUCAUAAAGAUGUACCAACUAUCCAGCCACACACUUGUAUAUCUCUUCAGUAAUAAUGUCAAUGUUUAAAUAUCCGAAGUAUCCUCCUACUUGGGAGCAUAUUCACUACACUGGGGAGCUUUUAUUUUUCUCCUAGGUUCAACACGCCUUCGUAUUGCUGCAAUACAGACUACUUGAUAUGUUGCUAUCACACAUGGGGAAUGGGAGCUACUGUCUUUACAUCAGUCUUUGAAUUUCUGUUUGAAGAUGUGAGCAUGUUGCUCUAAUUACACAGAAAUGUCCCAGUGAAUACUUUCCACAGAGGAAUUUCACUUGCGGAAUUUACACUUGAAGUUUUCUUCCUGAUCUUCAAAAUCUAUUGACGUUGAUACAUAUUCAUGUCAACAAUAUACCACAAACCCAACUAGACUGUGGACUUCUUGGGUUCAAGUACCAUAUCCCAAAGUAUAUUUAUAGUUUCCAAAACAUCAAAAACAGUGUUAAAUACACACUGAAAUAUGAGUAAAUAUUCACUAAUUUUAGCAGUCAAAUUUUAUUAUUUUUUGGUUUAAUGAAGAAGUGGUCUGGUGUUACUCCAAAUCAAAGAAAAUACUUCAUGACUCCUAGAUAUUUAAAGGGAAGAAUUCAAAGAUAAUUGCCAUAUCUCUCUGAUAAAGCAACCAUUCUCUCUUCAUUUUGUACUUAGAAAUCUACAGCAAUAGUUUGAUUUCAAAUACCAACCUAAAUGACAGCUCCAUCAUUCAAAUUCUGGGUGCAGCUGGCUGACAUUCUAGUCAGGCUGGGAGAGAGCUCUGCAUUUGUUGAAAUUGUAAAGGUCUCUAUUAAAGAGAUCCUUUAUUAAAAAAACUUAAGUGCUGUCAAAAUAUUUUAUCUUCCAAUUAUUGUUUUAAUUAUGAAAGUAUAAGCAUUCUAUUUAAUUUUGAAAAUAAUCACUCUUACAUCUAUACUCCCUACUUUUCUACAAAUUCAUUUGGAAAGUAAUCUCUCUGGAAGCCAAACCAACAUUAGAGAUGUCAUAUCUAUAAAACACCUACAUAACAAGUUUAUUGCCUCAAUUUCCAAACUUUUGGAACCUGUAAAUUAAGUUAGGAAUGUAUUAAAGAAACAACAACAACAAAAAGAAGCAAUAAAAGAGAAUGAACUUUGAGUCAGACUCACGUGGAUUCUGUUCAUGGCUUACUUACUGAACUUCCUCUGAACUUGUAGGCAAGGGACUCUGAUUUCUAUUUUUUUCAUGGAUAAGACAGAGGUAAUUGAUUCUGCUUCAUAAGCUGGUUGUGUGAAUUGAUGUAAUAAUAUAUAUACAGUGCCUAGUACAUGGCCUGGUACAUAAUACCUACUCAAUAAAUGAUAAUAUCCACAACUUCUGGGAAGAGAGGAUGGAGAGGCAGGAUGAAGAAAAGAGGGAGAACUAUGAGAAUAAAUGAUUUUCAUCCAACACAAUUUUCUUCUUUAAAGUAAUGGCAUAGUUGGUCUGGUUACAGGAAGAGAAUUAUGCAACUCAAUAUCCUGGCGAGUAUUUAGAUAUGACUUAAUUAACCGGGUGAGUAAAUGGAACGAGAGAAAAGAAAAGAAAAA
Molecule: long non-coding RNA, 1661 nt
Organism: Mustela erminea (ermine)
Lineage: Eukaryota; Metazoa; Chordata; Mammalia; Carnivora; Mustelidae
Exons: 2
Source: RefSeq, a predicted model, not a curated record